RNAcentral lists this unclassified non-coding RNA (248 nucleotides) under rhizosphere metagenome. RNAcentral describes it as "partial ribosomal RNA internal transcribed spacer region". The record is from RNAcentral.
GUAGGUGAACCUGCGGAAGGAUCAUUAAUGAGAUAGGGUUCUUCUGAGCCCGACCUCCAACCCUUUGUCUACCAAACCUCUGUUGCCUCGGUGGGCCGCCGGGUACCCUUUAGUUAGGGCCCCGCCGUCGGCCUUUGCGCUUUCGAGUGCCCGCCGCAGGAACCAAACAAACCUUUUUUAAAUUAAGUUAAUCUGAGUGGUAUUUAAUGCUUCAAUUAAAACUUUUAACAACGGAUCUCUUGGUUCUG